Molecule: ribosomal RNA, 494 nt
Filed under: uncultured bacterium
Lineage: Bacteria
Description: partial 16S ribosomal RNA
Rfam family: Bacterial small subunit ribosomal RNA
Source: RNAcentral
ACUCAAAUGAAUAGACGGGGACCCGCACAAGCGGUGGAUGAUGUGGAUUAAUUCGAUGCAACGCGAAAAACCUUACCUACCCUUGACAUGGCCAGAAGCUCCCCGAGAAGGGAGCGUGCCCGCAAGGGAACUGGCACACAGGUGCUGCAUGGCUGUCGUCAGCUCGUGUCGUGAGAUGUUGGGUUAAGUCCCGCAACGAGCGCAACCCUUGUCAUUAGUUGCUACGAAAGGGCACUCUAAUGAGACUGCCGGUGACAAACCGGAGGAAGGUGGGGAUGACGUCAAGUCCUCAUGGCCCUUAUGGGUAGGGCUUCACACGUCAUACAAUGGUCCAUACAAAGGGCAGCCAACCCGCGAGGGGGAGCUAAUCCCAUAAAGUGGAUCGUAGUCCGGAUUGGAGUCUGCAACUCGACUCCAUGAAGUUGGAAUCGCUAGUAAUCGCGGAUCAGCAUGUCGCGGUGAAUACGUUCCCGGGUCUUGCACACACCGCCCGU